RNAcentral lists this long non-coding RNA (251 nucleotides) under Elaeis guineensis (African oil palm). Its description in RNAcentral is "long non-coding RNA (EGUI_LNC040453)". Lineage: Eukaryota; Viridiplantae; Streptophyta; Magnoliopsida; Arecales; Arecaceae. The record is from RNAcentral.
AUUGGAUUAGGUCUAUUUUAAUUGGACUCCUACCCAACUUGGAAGAGUUUUAAGUGUGGAAGGAGACCUCCAUGCUACUCUAGUUUCACACCAAAAAUUGAUUGCCGCCACCUAUUUUAGCAUUGAGAAGAGGAAGAGUCUUUCUUCCUUAAGACUCUUAACCAACUCUUUGUUUUCCACUGAUUCCUUUAUUGUCACAUGCCUAAAUAAAUGAGAAAAUUAUGGGGCAUAGAAGAGGAAGAGUCCUUCUG